RNAcentral lists this unclassified non-coding RNA (504 nucleotides) under Rhynchospora berteroi. RNAcentral's name for it is "partial external transcribed spacer 1F". The record is from RNAcentral. Lineage: Eukaryota; Viridiplantae; Streptophyta; Magnoliopsida; Poales; Cyperaceae.
AGAACUCCUGCGCAUUGGCGUGGCAGGCUGUCAUGGGGUCGUCUCUUCAUUAUCCCUCCCGUCUGGCGUGAAAUUUCGCCUGGGAGAGAUUGUGCGKACGCAUCUUUGUCUGUGUGGUUCUAUCCAAGCGAGGAACAAGAUCGGUUCAAUGAUGUAUGCUUGUGCUUGCCCUGUUGAUAAUUUUAUUGUCUCUAGGGCAGCUUAAUUGUUGGCAAAGCCCUUGUGCGUCCCACGGCGUUUAUGCCGUGGCAAUACACGCGGGUGUUGUCGGCUCUUGCGGAUUCUGUGUCCAUGAUAAGUUCUGCUGGCCAUCGAUGGCCUGCAAGCUUCAGAAGGUCCCUUUUACGGAUCAUCAGUCCGUCGAUCGCCUGCCAUGUCUCUUUUGUCGUCAUGUCGGAGCGGUGUGUGGGUUGCCUCCCUGACCGAAUAAGCAGCGAUUUGCCGGCUACUGUUGUGAGAUGGGUCUCCCCUCCGGGGCGACUCCUGAAUCAAUGUAUCGGCUCU